GCCACGGUGGUUUAGCGGUUAGAACGCUGGCCUUGUAAUCCUGGGGUCUCGCGUUCGAUUCCCGGCGGUGCCC
RNAcentral lists this transfer RNA (73 nucleotides) under Zootermopsis nevadensis. It matches the Rfam family "tRNA". Rfam says of the family: Transfer RNA (tRNA) molecules are approximately 80 nucleotides in length. Their secondary structure includes four short double-helical elements and three loops (D, anti-codon, and T loops). Further hydrogen bonds mediate the characteristic L-shaped molecular structure. tRNAs have two regions of fundamental functional importance: the anti-codon, which is responsible for specific mRNA codon recognition, and the 3' end, to which the tRNAs corresponding amino acid is attached (by aminoacyl-tRNA synthetases). tRNAs cope with the degeneracy of the genetic code in two manners: having more than one tRNA (with a specific anti-codon) for a particular amino acid; and 'wobble' base-pairing, i.e. permitting non-standard base-pairing at the 3rd anti-codon position. The record is from Rfam by way of RNAcentral. Lineage: Eukaryota; Metazoa; Arthropoda; Insecta; Blattodea; Termopsidae.